Cataglyphis hispanica is the source of this 652-nucleotide long non-coding RNA. RefSeq lists it as uncharacterized. The record is from RefSeq and is a predicted model, not a curated record. The transcript is spliced from 3 exons. Lineage: Eukaryota; Metazoa; Arthropoda; Insecta; Hymenoptera; Formicidae.
AUGAAGUAAUAAAGCGAAACGCGUCGUAUUUUGUCAAAUCACGAAGUGCUGAAGUAAUAUCUUUUAAUAAAAGUGCGGGAGUGCCGUUUAAAGUAUCGCGCGUGUGAAUCGACCUGAGAGGAGGAGGAGGCGGCCUAGGAGAGGCAUCGGACACCGGCGGAGCAGUUCUGUGAUCAACGAUCCUGACAUCCUGAGAGGAGGAGCAGGCCUAGGAGAGGCAUCCUGCACCGGCGGAGCAACCCAAGGACAACGUAGCCUCAAGACCAACAACUCCGCUGUUGCGCAUCAGUGCCGGUGAGUGACAAACUUUUAUUUAAUUUUAAAGUAACGGAUUUGCAGAUAUUGUAGAUGUAGAUUGUAAAUUAUAGAUUGUAGAUUGUAGAUAAAUCCGUUACUUUUAAAUGUGGAUGAGCUAAAACAGAUUAAGUUGAAUAACUUUUAAUAAGUUCUUUUGAUAUGCAUUGCAUUUAUUGCAAAAAUAAAUUAAAGUUUAAGAAGGAAAAUUAUAAAAAAAAAAUCCAUUUUUUCCAAUUUGUAGAUUCAAUUUUAUCUGAUUUGAUUGAAUAAAGAAUACUAGUGAUUUUAUAAAUUAUCGUGUGACAAUUUUUUCUUAUAACGCGCACUGAUCUUAUCCUAAUUUCUUAUAAUUCAU